GACGAACGCUGGCGGCGUGCUUAACACAUGCAAGUCGAACGGAAAGGCCCCUUUGGGGGUACUCGAGUGGCGAACGGGUGAGUAACACGUGAGUAACCUGCCCUUGACUUCGGGAUAACUUCAGGAAACUGGGGCUAAUACCGGAUAGGAAUCCUUGCUGCAUGGUGGGGGUUGGAAAGCUUCGGCGGUUUUGGAUGGACUCGCGGCUUAUCAGCUUGUUGGUGGGGUAGUGGCUUACCAAGGCUUUGACGGGUAGCCGGCCUGAGAGGGCGACCGGCCACAUUGGGACUGAGAUACGGCCCAGACUCCUACGGGAGGCAGCAGUGGGGAAUAUUGCACAAUGGGCGGAAGCCUGAUGCAGCAACGCCGCGGGCGGGAUGACGGCCUUCGGGAUGUAAACCGCUUUCAGCAGGGGCGAAGCUUGUGGUGACGGUACCUGCAGAAGAAGCACCGGCUAACUACGUG
RNAcentral lists this ribosomal RNA (465 nucleotides) under uncultured bacterium. RNAcentral describes it as "partial 16S ribosomal RNA". It matches the Rfam family "Bacterial small subunit ribosomal RNA", at positions 28 to 507 of the family's 1533-position model. The record is from RNAcentral.